GGGACAGAGGGUAGGAGGAGAGAUGAUGUAGAGGGUAUAUACAGUAGGUCAUAGAGGGUAGGGGGAGAGAUGAUGUAGAGGGUAUAUACAGUAGGUCAUGGAGGGACAGAGGGUAGGAGGAGAGAUGAUGUAGAGGGUAUAUACAGUAGGUCAUAGAGGGUAGGAGGAGAGAUGAUGUAGAGGGUAUAUACAGUAGGUCAUGGAGGGACAGAGGGUAGGAGGAGAGAUGAUGUAGAGGGUAUAUACAGUAGGUCAUAGAGGGUAGGAGGAGAGAUGAUGUAGAGGGUAUAUACAGUAGGUCAUGGAGAGACAGAGGGUAGGAGGAGAGAUGAUGUAGAGGGUAUAUACAGUAGGUCAUGGAGGGACAGAGGGUAGGAGGAGAGAUGAUGUAGAAGGUAUAUACAGUAGGUCGUAGAGGGACAGAGGGUAGGAGGAGAGAUGAUGUAGAGAUGAUGUAGAGGAGGGUAUAUACAGUAGGUCAUGGAGGGACAGAGGGUAGGAGGAGAGAUGAUGUAGAGGGUAUAUACAGUAGGUCAUGGAGGGACAGAGGGUAGGAGGAGAGAUGAUGUAGAGGGUAUAUACAGUAGGUCAUAGAGGGUAGGAGGAGAGAUGAUGUAGAGGGUAUAUACAGUAGGUCAUGGAGGGACAGAGGGUAGGAGGAGAGAUGAGGAGGGUAUAUACAGUAGGUCAUGGAGGGACAGAGGGUAGGAGGAGAGAGGGUAUAUACAGUAGGUCAUGGAGGGACAGAGGGUAGGAGGAGAGAUGGGUAUAUACAGUAGUCAUGGAGGGACAGAGGGUAGGAGGAGAGAUGGGUAUAUACAGUAGGUCAUGGAGGGACAGAGGGUAGGAGGAGAGAUGGGUAUAUACAGUAGUCAUGGAGGGACAGAGGGUAGGAGGAGAGAUGGGUAUAUACAGUAGGUCAUGGAGGGACAGAGGGUAGGAGGAGAGAUGAUGUAGAGGGUAUAUACAGUAGGUCAUGGAGGGACAGAGGGUAGGAGGAGAGAUGAUGUAGAGGGUAUAAACAGUAGGUCAUGGAGAGACAGAGGGUAGGAGGAGAGAUGGGUAUAUACAGUAGGUCAUGGAGGGACAGAGGGUAGGAGGAGAGAUGAUGUAGAGGAGGGUAUAUACAGUAGGUCAUGGAGAGUCCUGUUAGUUACUGUACCUCUUGAUCAACUGAAGGCUCUUACACUGGGCAUGCUUGUGUCAUUGAUUUAUGGUGGGAGGAGGGGUGUGUUCAGCGGGAGGCGGGAG
RNAcentral lists this long non-coding RNA (1251 nucleotides) under Salmo salar (Atlantic salmon). RNAcentral describes it as "lncRNA (ENSSSAG00000095355.1)". Lineage: Eukaryota; Metazoa; Chordata; Actinopteri; Salmoniformes; Salmonidae. The record is from RNAcentral.